Molecule: ribosomal RNA, 451 nt
Filed under: uncultured bacterium
Lineage: Bacteria
Description: bacterial SSU rRNA
Rfam family: Bacterial small subunit ribosomal RNA
Source: RNAcentral
GAAUUCACUAGUGAUUCAGGCCUAACACAUGCAAGUCGAACGGUAACGCGGGGCAACCUGGCGACGAGUGGCGAACGGGUGAGUAAUGCAUCGGAACGUGCCCAGUUGUGGGGGAUAACUGCUCGAAAGAGCAGCUAAUACCGCAUACGACCUGAGGGUGAAAGCGGGGGAUCGCAAGACCUCGCGCAAUUGGAGCGGCCGAUGUCGGAUUAGCUAGUUGGUGGGGUAAAGGCCCACCAAGGCAACGAUCCGUAGCUGGUCUGAGAGGACGACCAGCCACACUGGGACUGAGACACGGCCCAGACUCCUACGGGAGGCAGCAGUGGGGAAUUUUGGACAAUGGACGCAAGUCUGAUCCAGCCAUGCCGCGUGCGGGAAGAAGGCCUUCGGGUUGUAAACCGCUGUUGUCAGGGAAGAAAUCUUCUGGGUUAAUACCUCGGGAGGAUGACGG